Molecule: ribosomal RNA, 376 nt
Filed under: uncultured bacterium
Lineage: Bacteria
Description: bacterial SSU rRNA
Rfam family: Bacterial small subunit ribosomal RNA
Source: RNAcentral
GACGAACGCUGGCGGCGUGCCUAAUACAUGCAAGUCGAGCGAAUCAGUAGGAGCUUGCUCCUAUUGGUUAGCGGCGGACGGGUGAGUGACACGUGGGCAACCUGCCUGUAAGACUGGGAUAACUUCGGGAAACCGGAGCUAAUACCGGAUAAUCUUUUCCUUCACAUGAAGGAAAACUAGAAGACGGCGUUACGCUGUCACUUACAGAUGGGCCCGCGGCGCAUUAGCUAGNGGUGAGGUAAUGGCUCACCAAGCGACGAUGCGUAGCGACCUGAGAGGGUGAUCGGCCACACUGGGACUGAGACACGGCCCAGACUCCUACGGGAGGCUAGCAGUAGGGAAUCUUCCACAAUGGACGAAAGCCUGACGCAGCGAC